AGAGAGAGAGAGAAAAGAGAAGGAGAAGGAGAAGGAACCUGAAAGGGAAAAGGGGAAGGAAAGAACAAAAAAGGAUAAAACAGAUGGUGAAAAUGUUGAUCCAACUGAAAACUAUAGCCAUAAAGAGGGCGAAAAAAUGGGAAAAGACAAGGAUAGGAAACAUCGGAGACAGCAUCAAAGUGGUACUGUCUAUGUAAGUUUUGACAAAGAGGAGGAGGAAUCUAAAAAAUCACGCAGACAUGGCAGUGACCGUAAACAAUCAAGAAAGCAUUCAUACUUACCUGAGUUGGAUAAUGAAAGCCGGCAAAAAUGGCAUAAGAUAGAUCACCGCGAUGGUCCGUAGAAAUGACGGCUACAAGGAGUUAGAAGACGCGGAGGUUGGUGAGGAUGGGGAGAUUGUCCGUAUGUCCUCGUUUUGCAUGCAUAGUGCCAAGUAAAUCAGAUGAGGAUUGUGCAGUCAGAUUCAUUCAGUGUUGAUGAACAGGAAUUAGUGGCAAGUGAAAAGAAGCUGACUGGCUUUUACUGCUUUAAUUUGUGAAUGCAACCAUAAGAGCAACUUCUGUUUAGGGGGG
This 572-nucleotide unclassified non-coding RNA is filed under the name Hevea brasiliensis (rubber tree). Lineage: Eukaryota; Viridiplantae; Streptophyta; Magnoliopsida; Malpighiales; Euphorbiaceae. The record is from RNAcentral.